GUGAGGAAUAUUGCGCAAUGGAGGCAACUCUGACGCAGCCAUGCCGCGUGCAGGAAGAAGGCGCUACGCGUUGUAAACUGCUUUUAACCGGGAAGAAACCCCAGGACGUGUCCUGGGUUGACGGUACCGGAGGAAUAAGCACCGGCUAACUUCGUGCCAGCAGCCGCGGUAAUACGAAGGGUGCAAGCGUUAUCCGGAUUCAUUGGGUUUAAAGGGUGCGUAGGCGGAGCGUUAAGUCAGUGGUGAAAUCCUGCAGCUUAACUGUAGACUUGCAAUUGAUACUGGCGCUCUUGAGUGCGCUUGAAGUGGGCGGAAUGUGCCGUGUAGCGGUGAAAUGCUUAGAUAUGGCACAGAACACCAAUUGCGAAGGCAGCUCACUAAGGCGAUACUGACGCUGAGGCACGAAAGCGUGGGGAUCGAACAGGAUUAGAAACCCGGGUAGUCC
RNAcentral lists this ribosomal RNA (445 nucleotides) under uncultured bacterium. RNAcentral's name for it is "bacterial SSU rRNA". It matches the Rfam family "Bacterial small subunit ribosomal RNA", at positions 354 to 796 of the family's 1533-position model. The record is from RNAcentral.